This 305-nucleotide ribosomal RNA is filed under the name uncultured bacterium. RNAcentral's name for it is "bacterial SSU rRNA". It matches the Rfam family "Bacterial small subunit ribosomal RNA", at positions 333 to 655 of the family's 1533-position model. The record is from RNAcentral.
GACUUCCUACGGGGGGCAGCAGUGGGGAAUAUUGCACAAUGGGGGGAACCCUGAUGCAGCGACGCCGCGUGAGUGAAGAAGUAUUUCGGUAUGUAAAGCUCUAUCAGCAGGGAAGAAAAUGACGGUACCUGACUAAGAAGCCCCGGCUAACUACGUGCCAGCAGCCGCGGUAAUACGUAGGGGGCAAGCGUUAUCCGGAUUUACUGGGUGUAAAGGGAGCGUAGACGGCCAUGCAAGUCUGAUGUGAAAACCCGGGGCUCAACCCCGGGACUGCAUUGGAAACUGUGCGGCUGGAGUGUCGGAGG